GGUGAACGCUGGCGGCGUGCCUAAUACAUGCAAGUCGAACGAAGCUUUUUUAACUGGUGCUUGCACCGACUUAAACAACUGAGUGGCGAACGGGUGAGUAACACGUGGGUAACCUGCCCCAAAGCGGGGGAUAACAUUUGGAAACAGAUGCUAAUACCGCAUAACCACAGAAACCACAUGGUUUCUGUGUCAAAGAUGGUUUCGGCUAUCACUUUGGGAUGGACCCGCGGCGUAUUAGCUAGUUGGUAAGGUAAUGGCUUACCAAGGCAAUGAUACGUAGCCGAACUGAGAGGUUGAUCGGCCACAUUGGGACUGGGACACGGCCCAAACUCCUACGGGAGGCAGCAGUAGGGAAUCUUCCACAAUGGACGAAAGUCUGAUGGAGCAACGCCGCGUGAGUGAAGAAGGUUUUCGGAUCGUAAAACUCUGUUGUCAGAGAAGAACGUGUGCGAGAGUAACUGUUCGUGCAGUGACGGUAUCUGGCCAGAAAGCCACGGCUAACUACGUGCCAGCAGCCGCGGUAA
RNAcentral lists this ribosomal RNA (524 nucleotides) under uncultured bacterium. Its description in RNAcentral is "partial 16S ribosomal RNA". It matches the Rfam family "Bacterial small subunit ribosomal RNA", at positions 28 to 523 of the family's 1533-position model. The record is from RNAcentral.